RNAcentral lists this long non-coding RNA (607 nucleotides) under Macaca mulatta (Rhesus monkey). Its description in RNAcentral is "lncRNA (ENSMMUG00000051125.1)". Lineage: Eukaryota; Metazoa; Chordata; Mammalia; Primates; Cercopithecidae. The record is from RNAcentral.
UAGCUGCCCCAGGAGCCCUUUGGCCCCCACUGGCUGCUUCUCCUAUUUCAAUUUCCAUGUCCUCUCGGUUUUGUAACUCAAGGAGCUCCCCUGGCUUAGGAACAGCUGACAACUCCACAGCUCCCAGCAGUGGCACCUGGAGAAGGGGCGGAUGGGCACUGACUUGUGGGCGUGCUCUGGGGCACCCCGUCCCCAGCUGUCAUGAGUCAUUUACAAGGCUGUGAUUGUGUCAGGCUUCCAGCAUUCUCUGCACCCAGGAUCAAGUCAGGUUGGAGGAGCUUUUCCGACUCAGUCUAGGCGAACACUUCGGCUUUCCCAGGUACAGUCCUGGCUUCCACUCUGGGCUCUCAGUUUCCUCAUAUGUUUCAUGAGUUCAUCAUCAUCCUUAUAAGAUAAAGAUAAAGACCAACACCACCUAACAUUCACUGAGGAUUUACUAGGUAACAGGUGUUCUACUAAGUGUUUCCAAUUCAUAUUCUCAUCGAACCUCCACAACUACCCGAUUAAGAAGGCGUAAUCUCUGUCCCCAUUUUAUAGAUGAGGAAAGUGAAGUCUAGACAUAACUUACCUGUCCAAUGUCACACAGCUAGGAGUCUGCCAAAUUAAG